GCCAAACCAUCUGUGAAGUUGGGACGGAAAGCCACGGGUCUUUUUUAAAGAUAGCCGGGUUACU
Molecule: non-coding RNA, 64 nt
Filed under: marine eukaryotic metagenome
Description: Cyclic di-GMP-I riboswitch
Rfam family: c-di-GMP-I riboswitch aptamer
About the family: GEMM was predicted in a large-scale screen for bacterial structured RNA regulatory elements. Genes associated with GEMM are involved in a diverse array of functions, including chemotaxis regulation, signal transduction, secretion and chitin.
Source: RNAcentral